GGGGCUGUUUGGCUUUGACAGCGGGCAGGAGAGGUUUGUAAGCAUGCAGUGCGUUGGCGGUUAGCACUUUAAUCACAAGCGUCAACCAUUUAACUGGCAACAACAAUUACGCUCUUGCUGCUUAAUCGAAGUUUAGUAGAUUAAGCUUAAUCCCGUCACAGGUGGCGGGACAAGACAUCACCCGGAAGCUCUGGCUUCGAAGCGUUCCGAUUAGGUGGUGCAGGUAUAUCGGAGAUAGGAGGGGUGACGCUUCGGCGCUUUUCCGAAAUUAAGAAGAUAAGGAUUGAGUAUGGUGUCUUCAGUCGCGCUCACUCCCGACAAUUAAAAUGAAGAUAAGCA
Molecule: transfer-messenger RNA, 339 nt
Filed under: Bacteroidales bacterium
Lineage: Bacteria; Pseudomonadati; Bacteroidota; Bacteroidia; Bacteroidales
Description: partial transfer-messenger RNA
Rfam family: transfer-messenger RNA
About the family: Bacterial tmRNA, also known as 10Sa RNA or SsrA, is named for its dual tRNA and mRNA-like properties. Its role is to liberate the mRNA from a stalled ribosome. To accomplish this part of the tmRNA is used as a reading frame that ends in a translation stop signal.
Source: RNAcentral